GCUUGCUCUCUGAGAUUAGCGGCGGACGGGUGAGUAACACGUGGGCAACCUGCCUAUAAGACUGGGAUAACUUCGGGAAACCGGAGCUAAUACCGGAUACGUUCUUUUCUCGCAUGAGAGAAGAUGGAAAGACGGUUUACGCUGUCACUUAUAGAUGGGCCCGCGGCGCAUUAGCUAGUUGGUGAGGUAAUGGCUCACCAAGGCGACGAUGCGUAGCCGACCUGAGAGGGUGAUCGGCCACACUGGGACUGAGACACGGCCCAGACUCCUACGGGAGGCAGCAGUAGGGAAUCUUCCGCAAUGGACGAAAGUCUGACGGAGCAACGCCGCGUGAACGAAGAAGGCCUUCGGGUCGUAAAGUUCUGUUGUUAGGGAAGAACAAGUACCAGAGUAACUGCUGGUACCUUGACGGUACCUAACCAGAAAGCCACGGCUAACUACGUGCCAGCAGCCGCGGUAAUACGUACGUGGCAAGCGUUGUCCGGAAUUAUUGGGCGUAAAGCGCGCGCA
This 510-nucleotide ribosomal RNA is filed under the name bacterium Schreyahn_K9.Sali. RNAcentral describes it as "bacterial SSU rRNA". It matches the Rfam family "Bacterial small subunit ribosomal RNA", at positions 78 to 573 of the family's 1533-position model. The record is from RNAcentral.